This 495-nucleotide ribosomal RNA is filed under the name uncultured bacterium. Its description in RNAcentral is "partial 16S ribosomal RNA". It matches the Rfam family "Bacterial small subunit ribosomal RNA", at positions 899 to 1397 of the family's 1533-position model. The record is from RNAcentral.
ACUCAAAUGAAUUGACGGGGGCCCGCACAAGCGGUGGAGCAUGGGGUUUAAUUCGUCACUAACCGAAGAACCUUACCCAGACUUGACAUCCCCGGACCGCCUGGGAAACCAGGUUUCCCCGCAAGGGGCCGGGAGACAGGUGUUGCAUGGCUGUCGUCAGCUCGUGUCGUGAGAUGUUGGGUUAAGUCCCGCAACGAGCGCAACCCUCACCGCAUGUUGCCAGUGGAAACACGCACUCAUGCGGAACUGCCGGGGCAACCCGGAGGAAGGCGGGGAUGACGUCAAGUCGGCAUGGCCCUUACGUCUGGGGCUACACCCAUGCUACAAUGGAUCGGACAGAGGGCAGCAAGACCGUGAGGUGGAGCGAAUCCCAAAAACCGGUCCUCAGUUGGGAUUGGAGUCUGCAACUCGACUCCAUGAACGCGGAAUCGCUAGUAACCGCCGGUCAGCGAAACGGCGGUGAAUCCGUUCCCGGGCCUUGUACACACCGCCCGU